RNAcentral lists this ribosomal RNA (550 nucleotides) under uncultured bacterium. Its description in RNAcentral is "bacterial SSU rRNA". It matches the Rfam family "Bacterial small subunit ribosomal RNA", at positions 355 to 896 of the family's 1533-position model. The record is from RNAcentral.
UGGGGAAUCUUCCGCAAUGGACGAAAGUCUGACGGAGCAACGCCGCGUGAGUGAUGACGGCCUUCGGGUUGUAAAGCUCUGUUAAUCGGGACGAAAGGCCUUCUUGCGAAUAGUUAGAAGGAUUGACGGUACCGGAAUAGAAAGCCACGGCUAACUACGUGCCAGCAGCCGCGGUAAUACGUAUGUCGCAAGCGUUGUCCGGAAUUAUUGGGCGUAAAGCGCGCGCAGGCGGAUAGGUCAGUCUGUCUUAAAAGUUCGGGGCUUAACCCCGUGAUGGGAUGGAAACUGCCAAUCUAGAGUAUCGGAGAGGAAAGUGGAAUUCCUAGUGUAGCGGUGAAAUGCGUAGAUAUUAGGAAGAACACCAGUGGCGAAGGCGACUUUCUGGACGAAAACUGACGCUGAGGCGCGAAAGCCAGGGGAGCGAACGGGAUUAGAUACCCCGGUAGUCCUGGCCGUAAACGAUGGGUACUGGGUGUAGGAGGUAUCGACCCCUUCUGUGCCGGAGUUAACGCAAUAAGUACCCCGCCUGGGGAGUACGACCGCAAGGUUG